AAAAAAAAAAAAAAAAAGGUAUAACUUUUAGUAAAAAUGUCGAAGAAGAUACUGAGAAUGAACCAUUUACAGAUAGUGAUACAAAUAUGCAAAAGGAAACACAUCACAGCGAAACAGAUACAGAUACAGAAAACAAAGAAGAUAAGCUUAGUAAAACGGAUUCGGAAAACGAAAGUGAUUUAGAUACUGAAACAGAUACGGAAAACAAAAAAGAUAAAUCAGAUGAUGAAUCUGGUGGGGAAUAUAUUAGUAGCGGAAAUAACAGUUCUAAUAAUAAAAGUGGAAAUAAAAAAAAUGGAAAUUAUGAAAAUUAUGAAUGUGGUAAUAAUGAUACAGAAACUAAUAAUGAUGAUAAAUAUGACAAUAAAAAUAUGGCGAGGGGAAAUAAAAAUAAUUAUAAUAAACAAAGUGAAAUAAAAAAAUAAUAUACAUUUAUUGAGAGGAGCAAGAACAAAAAAAAAACGAAUGAAAAAAAAAUAUAAAAACCAAGUGGUAGAUGAGCAGGAAAGACAACUUCAUAUGAAAAUAAUUGGAUCUAAAAAGAUGAAACACGAAGAUAAGAUAUUAGAAAAGGAAGAACAAAAUAAGAAUGGACCAGAGACAAAUAACAAAUUUAAGAAUCCCAAGACAGUUCUUAUUAAUUUGGAAGAAAUAAAUGAAGAUGAAAUGGAUAUAAAAAUGAGUGAAUUAAACAAAUUAACAUGUUCACCUAAAGAAGGAGAUAAUCUGUUAUUUGCCAUCCCAAUGUGUGCACCAUAUUCUGCUAUUCAAAAUCAUAAAUAUAAAGUAAAAAUAAUUCCUGGAACUGCGAAAAAAGGGAAAGUUGCUGAUUGUUGUGUUGCUCACUUUUUAAAAAUUUCAAAUGAUGAUAAGGAAAAGGAUUUAAUUAAAAAGAUAUCGAUGGAUGAACUAGUAAAUUGUAUCAUCUCAAAUUCAACUGCAGACAUAAAAGAACUGAAAAUUGCUGCUAAAUCGAAUUUUAUGCAUAAAAGCAAAAAAAACAAAAAUAUUAAAUAACUAGGCACGAUGAGUUUUUAUACGUGACUUUUUUUUUGUCGUAUGCUUUUUAUAGGAUUUAUAAUAAAACAUUUUGUAUAUAUACA
Molecule: long non-coding RNA, 1103 nt
Filed under: Piliocolobus tephrosceles (Ugandan red Colobus)
Lineage: Eukaryota; Metazoa; Chordata; Mammalia; Primates; Cercopithecidae
Description: lncRNA (ENSPTEG00000008207.1)
Source: RNAcentral